UUUGAAAGACCAAAAUAAACCUAUAAUUUUGAUUAAAAACAAUCAUAUUUUAGUUUCAAGAAAGUAGAGAAGGAGCCAUGGGCGAUCUACUCUCAUGGCUUCUUUCCUUCUUCCUUCUCGUCGCUGUUCUCGCCAUAGUUCUCUACCAGGUCAUGUCCUUGGCGGACCUUGAAAGUGAUUAUGUCAACCCUUAUGAUUCAGCAUCCGAGAUUAACAGACUUGUGGUUCCAGAAUUUAUUCUUCAAGGAGCACUAUGCUUCCUACAUCUUGUGAUGGGUCAUUGGUUAAUGUGUCUGAUCUGUCUCCCGUACUUAUAUUAUGAUGUCAAAGUCUAUACUGAUCGUCGCCACUUGCUAGAUGUAACUGAGAUUUUCAAUCAGCUACCAUGGGAAAAAAAGAUUCGUUUGUAUAAGCUUGGAUACCUCGGGAUAGUCCUCGUCUUUUCUAUAAUCUGUAUGAUCUGGAGCAUUGUGGCCGAAUGAAGAAUGCGGAAUUGCUGAUCUCACCGAGGUACUACUGCAGAUGCAUAUUUUCUGGAACUCAUGAUGGAUGAGCUUUAAGUCAUGGUCUAGAUUUUUGUACUUGUAUUAGGUUCUCUAUGAACUGAUGGAAGUGAGAUACUUUGGUCACUUGUAUGUUGGAGCUGGCCUUGUGUGUGUUUUCUCAGUAAUGAGCCAUUUUUUCUGACAAUGAUGGUGAUUGGAUGGCCUAGAGAAUUAAUCAUCUAAGGAAAUAACUGGUUGUCUUCAACUUGGGAAAACAUAUUGACAUAGAUUAUUACUACUAUUACUAGCACUAUUAUUAUCUUUA
This is an RNA transcript of Lycium barbarum (goji berry), 810 nucleotides long. It is a transcript of the gene named protein cornichon homolog 4-like, with no coding region annotated. The record is from RefSeq and is a predicted model, not a curated record. Lineage: Eukaryota; Viridiplantae; Streptophyta; Magnoliopsida; Solanales; Solanaceae. The transcript has 6 exons.